Molecule: ribosomal RNA, 200 nt
Filed under: uncultured bacterium
Lineage: Bacteria
Description: partial 16S ribosomal RNA
Rfam family: Bacterial small subunit ribosomal RNA
Source: RNAcentral
UACGUAGGGGGCAAGCGUUGUCCGGAUUUAUUGGGCGUAAAGAGCGUGUAGGCGGCCACACAGGUCAGCUGUGAAAACUCGAGGCUCAACCUCGAGACGUCGGUUGAAACCGUAUGGCUAGAGUCCGGAAGAGGAGAGUGGAAUUCCCGGUGUAGCGGUGAAAUGCGCAGAUAUCGGGAAGAACACCCGUGGCGAAGGCG